Molecule: long non-coding RNA, 545 nt
Organism: Anolis carolinensis (green anole)
Lineage: Eukaryota; Metazoa; Chordata; Lepidosauria; Squamata; Anolidae
Exons: 2
Source: RefSeq, a predicted model, not a curated record
AUAAAGGCACCACAUCCUGAUACCAGCAAACAUGACCGCAAUAGCCAUGUGCUUGCACAUGUGCUUGCACAGUGCUUGCACCCACUUCCCCUCGCUGAUCAGCAUAAAGAAAGCAUGAUGGCAAGAUAUGGACAAGAUAUUCCUAGGUCUGCUGCUGCUGUGAUAAAGGACAAUUUUAUAAAGUUUGUGAUGUGGAGGAUCACCUGGAUUUAACUCCAAUGUACCAUAGACUGGCACUACAUUUGUGCACAAUGACUAUUUGUUACAAUGCCAUUAUGUAUUCCACAGAUACCGAGAAGCAUCCUCAGGUGAAUAUUCAAUUCACAUGGAUCCUUACCAGGAUCAUUUGGCCUCACCACAGUGUGCUUUCAAUAAUGCCAUAAUUCUUCUGAAGCAUCAUACUACAUGCCUAUAUUAAUAAUAGCUUAUGUGACAUGAGUGAUCUACUGCUGUGAUUCUCAUGAACUCUUGGGCGCCUUAGAAUACAAUUUGCAAAUGAAGUUGAUUCAAUAAAAUGUGUGACAUCUCAAAUUAUUUGAGACUAA